RNAcentral lists this ribosomal RNA (428 nucleotides) under uncultured archaeon. RNAcentral describes it as "bacterial SSU rRNA". It matches the Rfam family "Archaeal small subunit ribosomal RNA", at positions 474 to 903 of the family's 1478-position model. The record is from RNAcentral.
UACCUGCAGCUCAAGUAGUGAUCGCUAUUAUUGGGCCUAAAACGUUCGUAGCCUGUUCGGUAAGUGCCUGGGUAAAUCGUGUAGCUCAACUAUACGAAUUCCGGGUAGACUGCCAAACUUGAAACCGGGAGAGGCUAGAGGUACUCCUGGGGUAGAGGUGAAAUUCUGUAAUCCUGGGGGGACCACCAGUGGCGAAGGCGUCUAGCUAGAACGGGUUUGACGGUGAGGAACGAAGCCCUGGGGCGCGAACCGGAUUAGAUACCCGGGUAGUCCAGGGUGUAAACGCUGCUUGCUUGAUGUUAAUUGGGCUCCGAGCCCAAUUAGUGUCGGAGAGAAGUUGUUAAGCAAGCUGCCUGGGAAGUACGGUCGCAAGACUGAAACUUAAAGGAAUUGGCGGGGAGCACAGCAACGGGUGGAGCGUGCGGUUU